Molecule: ribosomal RNA, 631 nt
Filed under: uncultured bacterium
Lineage: Bacteria
Description: bacterial SSU rRNA
Rfam family: Bacterial small subunit ribosomal RNA
Source: RNAcentral
CGCGGCCUAUCAGCUUGUUGGUGGGGUGAUGGCCUACCAAGGCGACGACGGGUAGCCGGCCUGAGAGGGCGACCGGCCACACUGGGACUGAGACACGGCCCAGACUCCUACGGGAGGCAGCAGUGGGGAAUAUUGCACAAUGGGCGGAAGCCUGAUGCAGCGACGCCGCGUGAGGGAUGACGGCCUUCGGGUUGUAAACCUCUUUCACCCAUGACGAAGCGAGAGUGACGGUAGUGGGAGAAGAAGCGCCGGCCAACUACGCGCCAGCAGCCGCGGUAAGACGUAGGGCGCGAGCGUUGUCCGGAUUUAUUGGGCGUAAAGAGCUCGUAGGCGGCUUGUCGCGUCGAAUGUGAAAUCUCAGGGCUCAACUCUGACAUUGCAUUCGAUACGGGCAGGCUAGAGUUCGGUAGGGGAGACUGGAAUUCCUGGUGUAGCGGUGAAAUGCGCAGAUAUCAGGAGGAACACCGGUGGCGAAGGCGGGUCUCUGGGCCGAUACUGACGCUGAGGAGCGAAAGCGUGGGGAGCGAACAGGAUUAGAUACCCUGGUAGUCCACGCUGUAAACGUUGGGCGCUAGGUGUGGGGGGCCUCUCCGGUUCUCUGUGCCGCAGCUAACGCAUUAAGCGCCCCGCC